UGGUAGUCCAUGCCGUAAACGUUGGGCACUAGGUGUGGGGGACAUUCCACGUUUUCCGCGCCGUAGCUAACGCAUUAAGUGCCCCGCCUGGGGAGUACGGCCGCAAGGCUAAAACUCAAAGAAAUUGACGGGGGCCCGCACAAGCGGCGGAGCAUGCGGAUUAAUUCGAUGCAACGCGAAGAACCUUACCAAGGCUUGACAUGAACCGGAAAGGCGUAGAAAUACGUCCCCCACUUGUGGUCGGUUUACAGGUGGUGCAUGGUUGUCGUCAGCUCGUGUCGUGAGAUGUUGGGUUAAGUCCCGCAACGAGCGCAACCCUCGUUCUAUGUUGCCAGCACGUGAUGGUGGGGACUCAUAGGAGACUGCCGGGGUCAACUCGGAGGAAGGUGGGGAUGACGUCAAAUCAUCAUGCCCCUUAUGUCUUGGGCUUCACGCAUGCUACAAUGGCCGGUACAAAGGGUUGCGAUACUGUGAGGUGGAGCUAAUCCCAAAAAGCCGGUCUCAGUUCGGAUUGGGGUCUGCAACUCGACCCCAUGAAGUAGGAGUCGCUAGUAAUCGCAGAUCAGCAACGAUGCGGUGAAUACGUUCCCGGGCCUUGUACACACCGCCCGUCAAGUCACGAAAGUUGGUAACACCCGAAGCCGGUGGCCUAACCCC
RNAcentral lists this ribosomal RNA (657 nucleotides) under Arthrobacter sp. RNAcentral describes it as "bacterial SSU rRNA". It matches the Rfam family "Bacterial small subunit ribosomal RNA", at positions 788 to 1442 of the family's 1533-position model. The record is from RNAcentral. Lineage: Bacteria; Bacillati; Actinomycetota; Actinomycetes; Micrococcales; Micrococcaceae.